Molecule: long non-coding RNA, 793 nt
Organism: Carassius carassius (crucian carp)
Lineage: Eukaryota; Metazoa; Chordata; Actinopteri; Cypriniformes; Cyprinidae
Exons: 5
Source: RefSeq, a predicted model, not a curated record
CACUGUAAAAAAUUGCUGUAGUUUCUACAGCAAAAUUUUACAGAAUUUUAAUGUAUAAACAUUUUACAAGAUGCAGCUGUAAUUCGCAAUGCAUUAUGGGUCAAAUAAGGUUUUACAGUUGUUAACAGUAUAUUUCCACGUCAACUGUAAUUCAUUUACAAGAAGCAGGUGUUGUCACUGUAGUUCCUGCUUUUUACACUAACUUACUGUAGUGUGGCAUUAUGGGAUUGCGCGCGCAUCAUUCAAAUCAGAAACCCAGCCGACUGGAGCAGCCCGAGAACGAUUGAAGAUAAGAGGCUUUAUUCAUAAUUCCUGGUGCAAAGAAUAGCAGCUGAUGUGGAGAAAUGUUCGAUGCUUCAAGACUCUGAAGCUGAUUUUAUUAGGUCCACCCAGUGGCUUUUGACUAUUUGAGGGUCAGAUGGUUGUGAAUUCAUCCCUCAACAUUGUGCGUCCCGGGAGCAGGCAUCUUUUGCACACAUUAAUUUUUUCAAAGUGGUAUUUACUGGAGAGUCUAUGGGACAGUCACAAUCUUCCCGGUUGCAUCCAAAAUAUCUUAAAUUGUGUUCCGAAGACGAACAAAGCUUUUACGGGUUUGGAACGACAUGGAGAUGUUUUCUUGGAAUCACAACACUCACUGGAUACAAGACGGACACAUGGAGGCAAAACAAGUGGAAAAGUCUCAGAGAAGAGGGACAACCCUCAUGUGUGUGCUCAUCUCAGAAAGUUGAUGGACUUUCAGUAUGUAUUUAUUAAAUUGUCUUUUGCAGGAAUAUUCUUAAUUUAAUAGAACAUA